Long non-coding RNA from Arvicola amphibius (Eurasian water vole), 747 nucleotides. RefSeq lists it as uncharacterized. Lineage: Eukaryota; Metazoa; Chordata; Mammalia; Rodentia; Cricetidae. The record is from RefSeq and is a predicted model, not a curated record. The transcript has 2 exons.
GCAACCUUUCUUUUUGGUUUGUGUUUUGUUGAUUUUUAAGAUCAUGUUUCCAGGGCUGGGAGACAGCAAGGAAAGCUUUGCCACGCGAACAGUAAGAGCUAAGCUGAGAUCCCCAGAACCCAGAUAAACAGCCCAUCACGCUUAGUAUGGAAAAAGGUCCACCAAACUCAGUCUCAUGGGAAGUUUUAGUUACUUGGCAAUCAAGAAACACCAAGGAAACGGGCAAGUGAAACCAGGAGUGGUUCAUCAUUCAACCUUCAAAAAACCAUGGGGAGGGGAUCGGUGUGCUGGGGGCACACUGAAAAGUAACGACAGAGAUGGAAUUCCCCCCACCACCCUGCACAGAAGCCUUUUGCCACCCUGUGCACAACACAGUGUUGAGGAACGGGAGCCAAGGAAACACCUGCAAUCCAGGCCGAGCUCUGCAAUGUAACAGUUAGGUGGAUCGGAAACCCUUGGAGCUGAACACACAUAAUUAUGAGAUCUGCUGAGCCAAGAAGGCACGAACCUAAUUUUCCUCUCUUCUGGGAAAUCUCAGGAGACUCCUCGCUGGCAGAGGCCUCUUCCUCCUCCUGCUCCUCUGGCUCUCUCUACCCACACCUGUAUCUGACACCCAGCACUGUCGGCUGUCAUUCUACAGGGACAUCCGCUCCCGCAUGCCCCCACGACUCACCGCUUUGUCUACAGCCUGACAGUCUUAGAAUUUUCCUAAGCAUGUUCCAGCACUACAAUAAAAUUAUAAAUAUA